Molecule: ribosomal RNA, 430 nt
Filed under: uncultured bacterium
Lineage: Bacteria
Description: bacterial SSU rRNA
Rfam family: Bacterial small subunit ribosomal RNA
Source: RNAcentral
AACGAACGCUGGCGGCAGGCCUAACACAUGCAAGUCGAGCGCUUCCUUCGGGAAGAGCGGCGGACGGGUUAGUAACGCGUGGGAACGUGCCUCUCUCUACGGAAUAGCCAUUGGAAACGAUGAAUAAUACCGUAUACGCCCUUGGGGGAAAGAUUUAUCGGAGAGAGAUCGGCCCGCGUUAGAUUAGUUAGUUGGUGGGGUAACGGCUUACCAAGACGACGAUCUAUAGCUGGUUUGAGAGGAUGAUCAGCCACACUGGGACUGAGACACGGCCCAGACUCCUACGGGAGGCAGCAGUGGGGAAUCUUAGACAAUGGGGCAACCCUGAUCUAGCCAUGCCGCGUGAGUGACGAAGGCCCUAGGGUCGUAAAGCUCUUUCGCCAGGGAUGAUAAUGACAGUACCUGGUAAAGAAACCCCGGCUAACUCCGU